RNAcentral lists this ribosomal RNA (511 nucleotides) under uncultured bacterium. RNAcentral's name for it is "bacterial SSU rRNA". It matches the Rfam family "Bacterial small subunit ribosomal RNA", at positions 21 to 518 of the family's 1533-position model. The record is from RNAcentral.
GGCUCAGGAUGAACGCUAGCUACAGGCUUAACACAUGCAAGUCGAGGGGCAGCAUGAAACUUAGCUUGCUAAGUUUGAUGGCGACCGGCGCACGGGUGAGUAACACGUAUCCAACCUACCGUUUACUACGGGAUAGCCUUCUGAAAAGGAGAUUAAUACCGUAUGGUAUUCUAAAGUUUCAUGACAUUAGAAUUAAAGGUUUACCGGUAAUCGAUGGGGAUGCGUUCCAUUAGAUAGUAGGCGGGGUAACGGCCCACCUAGUCAGCGAUGGAUAGGGGUUCUGAGAGGAAGGUCCCCCACAUUGGAACUGAGACACGGUCCAAACUCCUACGGGAGGCAGCAGUGAGGAAUAUUGGUCAAUGGGCGAGAGCCUGAACCAGCCAAGUAGCGUGAAAAGGAUGACUGCCCUAUGGGUUGUAAACUUCUUUUAUAAAGGAAUAAAGUGGUCCACGUGUGGAUUUUUGUAUGUACUUUAUGAAUAAGGAUCGGCUAACUCCGUGCCAGCAGCAGC